Molecule: ribosomal RNA, 497 nt
Filed under: uncultured bacterium
Lineage: Bacteria
Description: partial 16S ribosomal RNA
Rfam family: Bacterial small subunit ribosomal RNA
Source: RNAcentral
GACGAACGCUGGCGGCGUGCCUAAUACAUGCAAGUUGAGCGAUGAAGAUUGGUGCUUGCCCCAAUUUGAAGAGCAGCGAACGGGUGAGUAACGCGUGGGGAAUCUGCCUUUGAGCGGGGGACAACAUUUGGAAACGAAUGCUAAUACCGCAUAAUAACUUUAAACAUAAGUUUUAAGUUUGAAAGAUGCAAUUGCAUCACUCAAAGAUGAUCCCGCGUUGUAUUAACUAGUUGGUGAGGUAAAGGCUCACCAAGGCGAUGAUACAUAGCCGACCUGAGAGGGUGAUCGGCCACAUUGGGACUGAGACACGGCCCAAACUCCUACGGGAGGCAGCAGUAGGGAAUCUUCGGCAAUGGACGAAAGUCUGACCGAGCAACGCCGCGUGAGUGAAGAAGGGUGUCGGAUCGUAAAACUCUGUUGGUAGAGAAGAACGUUGGUGAGAGUGGAAAGCUCAUCAAGUGACGGUAACUACCCAGAAAGGGACGGCUAACUACGUG